UUAAGCGACUAAGCGUACACGGUGGAUGCCCUGGCAGUCAGAGGCGAUGAAGGACGUGCUAAUCUGCGAUAAGCGUCGGUAAGGUGAUAUGAACCGUUAUAACCGGCGAUUUCCGAAUGGGGAAACCCAGUGUGUUUCGACACACUAUCAUUAACUGAAUCCAUAGGUUAAUGAGGCGAACCGGGGGAACUGAAACAUCUAAGUACCCCGAGGAAAAGAAAUCAACCGAGAUUCCCCCAGUAGCGGCGAGCGAACGGGGAGGAGCCCAGAGUCUGAAUCAGUGUGUGUGUUAGUGGAAGCGUCUGGAAAGGCGCGCGAUACAGGGUGACAGCCCCGUACACAAAAAUGCACAUACUGUGAGCUCGAUGAGUAGGGCGGGACACGUGGUAUCCUGUCUGAAUAUGGGGGGACCAUCCUCCAAGGCUAAAUACUCCUGACUGACCGAUAGUGAACCAGUACCGUGAGGGAAAGGCGAAAAGAACCCCGGCGAGGGGAGUGAAAAAGAACCUGAAACCGUGUACGUACAAGCAGUGGGAGCCUCUUUUAUGGGGUGACUGCGUACCUUUUGUAUAAUGGGUCAGCGACUUAUAUUCUGUAGCAAGGUUAACCGAAUAGGGGAGCCGAAGGGAAACCGAGUCUUAACUGGGCGUUAAGUUGCAGGGUAUAGACCCGAAACCCGGUGAUCUAGCCAUGGGCAGGUUGAAGGUUGGGUAACACUAACUGGAGGACCGAACCGACUAAUGUUGAAAAAUUAGCGGAUGACUUGUGGCUGGGGGUGAAAGGCCAAUCAAACCGGGAGAUAGCUGGUUCUCCCCGAAAGCUAUUUAGGUAGCGCCUCGUGAAUUCAUCUCCGGGGGUAGAGCACUGUUUCGGCAAGGGGGUCAUCCCGACUUACCAACCCGAUGCAAACUGCGAAUACCGGAGAAUGUUAUCACGGGAGACACACGGCGGGUGCUAACGUCCGUCGUGAAGAGGGAAACAACCCAGACCGCCAGCUAAGGUCCCAAAGUCAUGGUUAAGUGGGAAACGAUGUGGGAAGGCCCAGACAGCCAGGAUGUUGGCUUAGAAGCAGCCAUCAUUUAAAGAAAGCGUAAUAGCUCACUGGUCGAGUCGGCCUGCGCGGAAGAUGUAACGGGGCUAAACCAUGCACCGAAGCUGCGGCAGCGACGCUUAUGCGUUGUUGGGUAGGGGAGCGUUCUGUAAGCCUGUGAAGGUGUGCUGUGAGGCAUGCUGGAGGUAUCAGAAGUGCGAAUGCUGACAUAAGUAACGAUAAAGCGGGUGAAAAGCCCGCUCGCCGGAAGACCAAGGGUUCCUGUCCAACGUUAAUCGGGGCAGGGUGAGUCGACCCCUAAGGCGAGGCCGAAAGGCGUAGUCGAUGGGAAACAGGUUAAUAUUCCUGUACUUGGUGUUACUGCGAAGGGGGGACGGAGAAGGCUAUGUUGGCCGGGCGACGGUUGUCCCGGUUUAAGCGUGUAGGCUGGUUUUCCAGGCAAAUCCGGAAAAUCAAGGCUGAGGCGUGAUGACGAGGCACUACGGUGCUGAAGCAACAAAUGCCCUGCUUCCAGGAAAAGCCUCUAAGCAUCAGGUAACAUCAAAUCGUACCCCAAACCGACACAGGUGGUCAGGUAGAGAAUACCAAGGCGCUUGAGAGAACUCGGGUGAAGGAACUAGGCAAAAUGGUGCCGUAACUUCGGGAGAAGGCACGCUGAUAUGUAGGUGAAGUCCCUCGCGGAUGGAGCUGAAAUCAGUCGAAGAUACCAGCUGGCUGCAACUGUUUAUUAAAAACACAGCACUGUGCAAACACGAAAGUGGACGUAUACGGUGUGACGCCUGCCCGGUGCCGGAAGGUUAAUUGAUGGGGUUAGCGCAAGCGAAGCUCUUGAUCGAAGCCCCGGUAAACGGCGGCCGUAACUAUAACGGUCCUAAGGUAGCGAAAUUCCUUGUCGGGUAAGUUCCGACCUGCACGAAUGGCGUAAUGAUGGCCAGGCUGUCUCCACCCGAGACUCAGUGAAAUUGAACUCGCUGUGAAGAUGCAGUGUACCCGCGGCAAGACGGAAAGACCCCGUGAACCUUUACUAUAGCUUGACACUGAACAUUGAGCCUUGAUGUGUAGGAUAGGUGGGAGGCUUAGAAGUGUGGACGCCAGUCUGCAUGGAGCCGACCUUGAAAUACCACCCUUUAAUGUUUGAUGUUCUAACGUUGACCCGUAAUCCGGGUUGCGGACAGUGUCUGGUGGGUAGUUUGACUGGGGCGGUCUCCUCCUAAAGAGUAACGGAGGAGCACGAAGGUUGGCUAAUCCUGGUCGGACAUCAGGAGGUUAGUGCAAUGGCAUAAGCCAGCUUGACUGCGAGCGUGACGGCGCGAGCAGGUGCGAAAGCAGGUCAUAGUGAUCCGGUGGUUCUGAAUGGAAGGGCCAUCGCUCAACGGAUAAAAGGUACUCCGGGGAUAACAGGCUGAUACCGCCCAAGAGUUCAUAUCGACGGCGGUGUUUGGCACCUCGAUGUCGGCUCAUCACAUCCUGGGGCUGAAGUAGGUCCCAAGGGUAUGGCUGUUCGCCAUUUAAAGUGGUACGCGAGCUGGGUUUAGAACGUCGUGAGACAGUUCGGUCCCUAUCUGCCGUGGGCGCUGGAGAACUGAGGGGGGCUGCUCCUAGUACGAGAGGACCGGAGUGGACGCAUCACUGGUGUUCGGGUUGUCAUGCCAAUGGCACUGCCCGGUAGCUAAAUGCGGAAGAGAUAAGUGCUGAAAGCAUCUAAGCACGAAACUUGCCCCGAGAUGAGUUCUCCCUGACCCUUUAAGGGUCCUGAAGGAACGUUGAAGACGACGACGUUGAUAGGCCGGGUGUGUAAGCGCAGCGAUGCGUUGAGCUAACCGGUACUAAUGAACCGUGAGGCUUAACCUU
RNAcentral lists this ribosomal RNA (2902 nucleotides) under Escherichia coli. RNAcentral's name for it is "bacterial LSU rRNA". It matches the Rfam family "Bacterial large subunit ribosomal RNA". Lineage: Bacteria; Pseudomonadati; Pseudomonadota; Gammaproteobacteria; Enterobacterales; Enterobacteriaceae. The record is from RNAcentral.